RNAcentral lists this unclassified non-coding RNA (279 nucleotides) under plant metagenome. RNAcentral's name for it is "partial contains small subunit ribosomal RNA, internal transcribed spacer 1, and 5.8S ribosomal RNA". The record is from RNAcentral.
UCUCCGUAGGUGAACCAGCGGAAGGAUCAUUAUUGAGUAUACAACUUCCAAACCCCGGCGAACACCCCUAACGUCGCGCACGCGCAACCGCCCCCACACCCAUCCAUCUCGACCCUGUGUCCACCACCGAGUCGGUACCCCUUUGGUUUGUUCGGAUGGUGGCUUAAAAUUACACAAAAACUUUAAAUUUUGUAUAAAAGGUAUUUUUUGUUUUUGCGAUCACGCAAACAAUACAACUUUGAACAACGGAUCUCUUGACUCUCGCCUCGAUGAUGAACC